Pseudomonas fluorescens is the source of this 130-nucleotide non-coding RNA. NCBI's taxonomy places the organism in Bacteria, Pseudomonadati, Pseudomonadota, Gammaproteobacteria, Pseudomonadales, Pseudomonadaceae. The record is from Rfam.
UAUAGAUACAGGGAUUUGUCCCUGGCCUGUUGAAACUGUUCUUGAACAGUUUCCUGAUAUAAGGAUUGCCCACAUGGCACUCAGCGUUGAAGAAAAAGCUCAGAUCGUAACCGACUACCAGCAAGCUGUU